Molecule: non-coding RNA, 26 nt
Filed under: Rattus norvegicus (Norway rat)
Lineage: Eukaryota; Metazoa; Chordata; Mammalia; Rodentia; Muridae
Source: RNAcentral
UGAAUCUUAAGGACAAUGGUGAUGAU